This 254-nucleotide ribosomal RNA is filed under the name uncultured bacterium. Its description in RNAcentral is "partial 16S ribosomal RNA". It matches the Rfam family "Bacterial small subunit ribosomal RNA", at positions 524 to 776 of the family's 1533-position model. The record is from RNAcentral.
UACGUAGGGGCCAAGCGUUGUCCGGAUUUAUUGGGCGUAAAGAGCUCGUAGGCGGUGUGUCGCGUCGGCCGUGAAAACCUGCAGCUUAACUGUGGGCUUGCGGUCGAUACGGGCAUCACUGGAGUUCGGCAGGGGAGACUGGAAUUCCUGGUGUAGCGGUGAAAUGCGCAGAUAUCAGGAGGAACACCGGUGGCGAAGGCGGGUCUCUGGGCCGAUACUGACGCUGAUGCGCGAAAGCCAGGGGAGCGAACGGG